GUUAUAUGGUCAAGUGAAGAAGCGCAUACGGUGGAUGCCUUGGCAGUCAGAGGCGAUGAAAGACGUGGUAGCCUGCGAAAAGCUUCGGGGAGUCGGCAAACAGACUUUGAUCCGGAGAUCUCUGAAUGGGGGAACCCACCUAGGAUAACCUAGGUAUCUUGUACUGAAUCCAUAGGUACAAGAGGCGAACCAGGGGAACUGAAACAUCUAAGUACCCUGAGGAAAAGAAAUCAACCGAGAUUCCCUUAGUAGUGGCGAGCGAACGGGGAUUAGCCCUUAAGCUUCAUUGAUUUUAGCGGAACGCUCUGGAAAGUGCGGCCAUAGUGGGUGAUAGCCCCGUACGCGAAAGGAUCUUUGAAGUGAAAUCGAGUAGGACGGAGCACGAGAAACUUUGUCUGAACAUGGGGGGACCAUCCUCCAAGGCUAAAUACUACUGACUGACCGAUAGUGAACCAGUACCGUGAGGGAAAGGCGAAAAGAACCCCGGAGAGGGGAGUGAAAUAGAACCUGAAACCGUAUGCGUACAAGCAGUGGGAGCCUACUUGUUAGGUGACUGCGUACCUUUUGUAUAAUGGGUCAGCGACUUAUAUUCAGUGGCAAGCUUAACCGUAUAGGGUAGGCGUAGCGAAAGCGAGUCUUAAUAGGGCGUUUAGUCGCUGGGUAUAGACCCGAAACCGGGCGAUCUAUCCAUGAGCAGGUUGAAGGUUAGGUAACACUGACUGGAGGACCGAACCCACUCCCGUUGAAAAGGUAGGGGAUGACUUGUGGAUCGGAGUGAAAGGCUAAUCAAGCUCGGAGAUAGCUGGUUCUCCUCGAAAGCUAUUUAGGUAGCGCCUCAUGUAUCACUCUGGGGGGUAGAGCACUGUUUCGGCUAGGGGGUCAUCCCGACUUACCAAACCGAUGCAAACUCCGAAUACCCAGAAGUGCCGAGCAUGGGAGACACACGGCGGGUGCUAACGUCCGUCGUGAAAAGGGAAACAACCCAGACCGCCAGCUAAGGUCCCAAAGUUGUGGUUAAGUGGUAAACGAUGUGGGAAGGCUUAGACAGCUAGGAGGUUGGCUUAGAAGCAGCCACCCUUUAAAGAAAGCGUAAUAGCUCACUAGUCGAGUCGGCCUGCGCGGAAGAUGUAACGGGGCUCAAACCACACACCGAAGCUGCGGGUGUCACGUAAGUGACGCGGUAGAGGAGCGUUCUGUAAGCCUGUGAAGGUGAGUUGAGAAGCUUGCUGGAGGUAUCAGAAGUGCGAAUGCUGACAUGAGUAACGACAAUGGGUGUGAAAAACACCCACGCCGAAAGACCAAGGGUUCCUGCGCAACGUUAAUCGACGCAGGGUUAGUCGGUUCCUAAGGCGAGGCUGAAAAGCGUAGUCGAUGGGAAACAGGUUAAUAUUCCUGUACUUCUGGUUACUGCGAUGGAGGGACGGAGAAGGCUAGGCCAGCUUGGCGUUGGUUGUCCAAGUUUAAGGUGGUAGGCUGAAAUCUUAGGUAAAUCCGGGGUUUCAAGGCCGAGAGCUGAUGACGAGUCGUCUUUUAGAUGACGAAGUGGUUGAUGCCAUGCUUCCAAGAAAAGCUUCUAAGCUUCAGGUAACCAGGAACCGUACCCCAAACCGACACAGGUGGUCGGGUAGAGAAUACCAAGGCGCUUGAGAGAACUCGGGUGAAGGAACUAGGCAAAAUGGCACCGUAACUUCGGGAGAAGGUGCGCCGGCUAGGGUGAAGGAUUUACUCCGUAAGCUCUGGCUGGUCGAAGAUACCAGGCCGCUGCGACUGUUUAUUAAAAACACAGCACUCUGCAAACACGAAAGUGGACGUAUAGGGUGUGACGCCUGCCCGGUGCCGGAAGGUUAAUUGAUGGGGUUAGCGCAAGCGAAGCUCUUGAUCGAAGCCCCGGUAAACGGCGGCCGUAACUAUAACGGUCCUAAGGUAGCGAAAUUCCUUGUCGGGUAAGUUCCGACCUGCACGAAUGGCGUAACGAUGGCGGCGCUGUCUCCACCCGAGACUCAGUGAAAUUGAAAUCGCUGUGAAGAUGCAGUGUAUCCGCGGCUAGACGGAAAGACCCCGUGAACCUUUACUGUAGCUUUGCACUGGACUUUGAGCCUGCUUGUGUAGGAUAGGUGGGAGGCUUUGAAGCGUGGACGCCAGUUCGCGUGGAGCCAUCCUUGAAAUACCACCCUGGCAUGCUUGAGGUUCUAACUCUGGUCCGUAAUCCGGAUCGAGGACAGUGUAUGGUGGGCAGUUUGACUGGGGCGGUCUCCUCCUAAAGAGUAACGGAGGAGUACGAAGGUGCGCUCAGACCGGUCGGAAAUCGGUCGCAGAGUAUAAAGGCAAAAGCGCGCUUGACUGCGAGACAGACACGUCGAGCAGGUACGAAAGUAGGUCUUAGUGAUCCGGUGGUUCUGUAUGGAAGGGCCAUCGCUCAACGGAUAAAAGGUACUCCGGGGAUAACAGGCUGAUACCGCCCAAGAGUUCAUAUCGACGGCGGUGUUUGGCACCUCGAUGUCGGCUCAUCACAUCCUGGGGCUGAAGCCGGUCCCAAGGGUAUGGCUGUUCGCCAUUUAAAGUGGUACGCGAGCUGGGUUUAGAACGUCGUGAGACAGUUCGGUCCCUAUCUGCCGUGGACGUUUGAGAUUUGAGAGGGGCUGCUCCUAGUACGAGAGGACCGGAGUGGACGAACCUCUGGUGUUCCGGUUGUCACGCCAGUGGCAUUGCCGGGUAGCUAUGUUCGGAAAAGAUAACCGCUGAAAGCAUCUAAGCGGGAAACUUGCCUCAAGAUGAGAUCUCACUGGGAACUUGAUUCCCCUGAAGGGCCGUCGAAGACUACGACGUUGAUAGGCUGGGUGUGUAAGCGUUGUGAGGCGUUGAGCUAACCAGUACUAAUCGCCCGUGAGGCUUGACCAUAUAACACCCAAACA
RNAcentral lists this ribosomal RNA (2912 nucleotides) under Pseudomonas aeruginosa. Its description in RNAcentral is "23S ribosomal RNA". It matches the Rfam family "Bacterial large subunit ribosomal RNA". The record is from RNAcentral. Lineage: Bacteria; Pseudomonadati; Pseudomonadota; Gammaproteobacteria; Pseudomonadales; Pseudomonadaceae.